This 31-nucleotide non-coding RNA is filed under the name Rattus norvegicus (Norway rat). Lineage: Eukaryota; Metazoa; Chordata; Mammalia; Rodentia; Muridae. The record is from RNAcentral.
UGCAACUGAAUGGUGACUAGAUUUCUGCACU